ACAAUUCUACGACCUGGAGACAAUGUCACCCUCUACUGUGACUGCAAAGUGUCAACUGGAGUAUAUAUCGCUUGGUUUAGGAACUGUUCUCAUGAAUACCAACCUACUCUUGUUUUAAAGACACACAAGUCCAUUAAUGACAGGCAAAAAAAUCUUCAUUUUCAGUUUUUCAAGAAUGAGUCAUCCAACUCAUAUGACCUGAUGAUCAUAAACGUCACAAAUUCUGAUGAAGGACUUUAUUACUGUGGAACUGUAGAGACAAAGGUGGUAAAAGACAAAAACAAAAAUGUCUUCACUGAAGAAAUUUACAUCUAUGGCAACAUCACCACAAGGAUCACAUUAUAUACAAAUAUUUCCAGAACAGUGGAGGACUGUGGAGCGUGCUGGAAGCUACUGUUCUCUGUUUGUCCGGCUGUUUCUGUUCUCUCAGCUCUCUUCUCCUCACUUUUGGUUUACGUUCUUUGCCAAAAGCCAGAAAAAACUCAAGCUGAGAAAAAGAGAUGUGACUCGUCAAUAAGACAAACAGAUCAAACACAGGAUGAAAACAUGUGUUAUGCUGCCUUGGAAAUCCAUCAGCCAUCACAGAGGACAAAAAGGAAAAGGACGAUUCAGAAUUCAGAUUUCAGCACAUACUCUGCAAUCAAGACAAUCCAGGUGGAGGAGAUUCAGAUUUAACUAGGAGGUUAAAACACAAAAAGUGAGGAGCCCGUAUUGUAUUAUUUUGUUGUAUGUUCUUCCUUUAAAAAGAGAAACAUUUGCUAUUCCAAAUCCAUUGUUUUCAGACAGUUUUUGGUUGCAUUUUUUUUUUUUUUUUUUGCAUUUUUUGGGUGGGAUUUAAAUCUGUCUUUGUUAUAAUGAGGCCCUUUUCACUCAUGCACUGACUUUUCCAGACACAGCUGCAGUGGCUGCAUGUCUGAAAGCAAAUUUGUGCGACAGUCAUUCUGUGUUCUAUGGACCUUUAUGUUAAUUUGAAGUAAUAAUAAAGUAAUGUUUUCUGU
Molecule: long non-coding RNA, 998 nt
Organism: Fundulus heteroclitus (mummichog)
Lineage: Eukaryota; Metazoa; Chordata; Actinopteri; Cyprinodontiformes; Fundulidae
Exons: 4
Source: RefSeq, a predicted model, not a curated record